GAAUGCAGUGCUGUAAGCUGCUGUUGACUGUGUGAAUGUGUGUCUGUGCUGCUUGUUGCUGCUGUCAAACUUCAGAUGAGCCGGUAGUGAAGCCCGUGGUGAGCGUGUACCCAGCAGCAUCCAGAGCCCACCUGGAGGGGAAGAGCUCCCUGCUGUGUCUGGCCUCAGCCAUGUUUCCUCCUCUGGUCCAGUUCUCCUGGAAAAGACGAAAGGAGAAUGGUCCUCUGGAGGAUCUGCUCCCUGAUGAGGGAGAGCAGCUGGAGAUCAGAGAGUCAGGACGCACCGCCUCCAUCUUGCUGAUCCAUCAGCAAGUUAACAGCACAUAUAAAUACCGCUGUGAGGUCCAACAUGAGGGGGGACCAGUGGAGGCCCACACAGAACAAGAGGUUCCAGCUCCAGCAGCCUCCUGUCCUCCAGAGAGAGAUCCACCAGACCAGCUAGCUCUGGAGGAAGCUGACUGUAAGAUCACCUGCUCACUCUCCUUCAAUAACCUUUUACACUUCAGCUUCUGUUUUCAAUGUCAACACUUACAGUCACUGUCCUGGCUCCAUAACUGAAAAGCUUGGUAGAGAUUUGACUUGUUUGUUUUUAAUAGGGGCCUUUGAACUUUCAUGUAAAUUGUAGCCGACCCCCGUCUUUAUGUGAAGGUGGUUGUCCCGUCUGGAAACGUCCAAGUUAUACUGAUGAAAAUCUGAAGAUGUUCUGAUGAAAUAUAUAUAGUAGAACAUACUGAAAACUGUGUGUGUGUGUGUGUGUGUGUGUGUGUGUGUGUGUGUGUGUGUGUGUGUGUGUGUCAGUGUCCUUCCAGUUUCAGUGCAGGGUGAAGUUGUUCUGUCUGCUGUACACACAGCUGAUAGUGAAGAGUCUGGUGUACUGCUGUGGACUCUCUCUGCUGAUGAUCCUCAGAAACAAGGGACCGUCCACCAACUGAACACAUGCUGACUGACUGUUUUCUGCUCGACUUUUCUCGCCAUCAAAUCUCAUCAAUUCAUCUCAUUUAUCACUUUAAUCACUAUUCACAAAUAUCAAUUAUGACGUGUUGUAGUUGUCAUCUGAACCAUAUAAAUACAUAUAUAUCUUAGCAGUUAUUAACUUUAAAUUCUGUGGUGUUUUUAGAUACUUUAGUUUAUUUCUACUUUUAAUUGUGACUUGUAUAAUGAUAAUUUGAAUAAUCAGCUGUCUGGUAGAUAUUUCAUAGUUC
Long non-coding RNA from Sander lucioperca (pikeperch), 1201 nucleotides. The record is from Ensembl. NCBI's taxonomy places the organism in Eukaryota, Metazoa, Chordata, Actinopteri, Perciformes, Percidae.